UGGGGAAUAUUGCACAAUGGGGGAAACCCUGAUGCAGCGACGCCGCGUGAGCGAUGAAGUAUUUCGGUAUGUAAAGCUCUAUCAGCAGGGAAGAAAAUGACGGUACCUGACUAAGAAGCACCGGCUAAAUACGUGCCAGCAGCCGCGGUAAUACGUAGGUGCCAGCAGCCGCGGUAAUACGUAGGUG
This 187-nucleotide ribosomal RNA is filed under the name uncultured Bifidobacterium sp. RNAcentral describes it as "partial 16S ribosomal RNA". It matches the Rfam family "Bacterial small subunit ribosomal RNA", at positions 355 to 560 of the family's 1533-position model. The record is from RNAcentral. Lineage: Bacteria; Bacillati; Actinomycetota; Actinomycetes; Bifidobacteriales; Bifidobacteriaceae.